GACGAACGCUGGCGGCGUGCUUAACACAUGCAAGUCGAACGGAAAGGCCCUGCUUUUGUGGGGUGCUCGAGUGGCGAACGGGUGAGUAACACGUGAGUAACCUGCCCUUGACUUUGGGAUAACUUCAGGAAACUGGGGCUAAUACCGGAUAGGAGCUCCUGCUGCAUGGUGGGGGUUGGAAAGUGUCGGCGGUUGGGGAUGGACUCGCGGCUUAUCAGCUUGUUGGUGGGGUAGUGGCUUACCAAGGCUUUGACGGGUAGCCGGCCUGAGAGGGUGACCGGCCACAUUGGGACUGAGGUAGGGGCCGUACGCCAACGGGAGGAAGCAGUGGGGAACUUUGCAAGAUGGGCGGAAGGCUGAUGGAGCAACGCCGGGUGCGGGAUGACGGCCUUCGGGGUGUAAAGCGCUUUCGCCUGUAACGAAGCGUGAGUGACGGUAAUGGGUAAGGAAGCACCGGCUAACUACGUG
Molecule: ribosomal RNA, 468 nt
Filed under: uncultured bacterium
Lineage: Bacteria
Description: partial 16S ribosomal RNA
Rfam family: Bacterial small subunit ribosomal RNA
Source: RNAcentral